Sciurus carolinensis (gray squirrel) is the source of this 658-nucleotide long non-coding RNA. RefSeq lists it as uncharacterized. The record is from RefSeq and is a predicted model, not a curated record. Lineage: Eukaryota; Metazoa; Chordata; Mammalia; Rodentia; Sciuridae. The transcript has 4 exons.
GACCUUGGCAGAGACUCAACAGGAAACUGAACUCUAUUUGCAUAUCCUUUUAUACAUGGGAGAUUAAAAGCUUCAACCUUGAGUGAUCACAGUUUUUGAGAAUCAUGAGGAGGCAUUAAAGAAGAGGAGGAGUGUCCCAAGGGAGGUGAGCUGGAGGCGAUGCAAGGUAGCUGUGAGGCGGCUAGCCCUCCUCAGCAGGUGGAAGUUUCCUCAGAUCUCAGAGAGCUGCUUUCCAGCAUGGGGUUUGGCACAGAUGUUGCCUCCUGAUGCCUUCCAUCAGAACAUGUAUUUCUGGCAAGAGAGCAGCUCUGAUUGCCUGGCUUUUUCCCUGGUUUCCCUGGACCAGGUCCCUAUAAUUCUUUAAUGGAAGAAGCUAGAAGACUGGAAUGAGGGUAUUUCUCUCUGGUAUGCAUUUAGGGGGACUUGGCUUUCUUGGCCACAUACUAUACUAAAAACUACCCUGUGCAGACAGCAUAGGCAACAUGAGAAUGGACAAGUGUCACUCUUCACAGGGCAACUCAGAAGUGGACCAGGUCUGAUCCUGUGGAAGAGGCUCAUCAGUGGUCUUUUCGCUAUUGAGUGUGGCAUGCUGGCUGACGGCAACCUCGGGAGCCCUUGAACAUGCCUUCAGAGAAUGUCUUCAGCAUUUGAUGCACCC